This 2232-nucleotide long non-coding RNA is filed under the name Olea europaea subsp. europaea. Lineage: Eukaryota; Viridiplantae; Streptophyta; Magnoliopsida; Lamiales; Oleaceae. The record is from RNAcentral.
CAAUACUUUCCACUCCCAUCGUAAAGAUACUGCUUUGAACCCAUGUUCAGAAUAUCAACAGUUGAUACCUUUAUUUGUAGUAGCAGUAUGAGGACUGCAUGAUGACAGCAAGAUGCAGCGAAAUUGAGUCAUUCUUGUGUUGUAGAGCGUCUCAAUAAACUUCAGUAAUCGAGUGCUAAGAACGAAAUAAGUCUCAAAUACUCAAUUAGUAAAUCAACUAUAACACUGUAGCUGGUUCGCUUGCUCAAAAACAGGAAAUGCUAAUUAACGGCAAAAAUACGUUUUGUCGUCUCCAAGGGGAUGAGCCUUACUCCCCUCAAGCGAGGCAAGAAGUAUUUGAUCUCCAAAAAAAGUGUCGAUAAUUAAAGAUUCUCGAAUAUACAUGUCACUAGGGAUGUCAACGAGCUGGCUUGCGAGCCGAACGUGGGCAGCCCAGGCAAAGAAAAAUCUCGAGCUUUUUUAGCCUGAGCCGAGCUGACUUGCGCUUUUUCAGGGCCCAUCCAUGGCCGCCAGAGUAGAUGGGCUCAUUUGAUGUACCUACAUGUCACUGAACAAAUACUUCAUAACCGACAAAGGUAAGGUCAUUCUAUAUAGAGCCUGUCAUCAUUUCUUUCUCCAUAAGAAGCCGUCAAUAAGAGAAGAAUUUCAAAAUCCAUACUAGAUGCUAAAUAAGUUCUUCAACUAGUUAAUGUUAGAUGUAAUGGUGAGCACUCAACCCUUGAGAAAUGAACUGAUCACGUUCUCUUAUUCUUGUCAAAACCCGAGGAAGAAAUUUCGAAUAAGAACGAAAAGCGUUAGUGCAAUAGAAGCUAGAAAGACUAUAUGGAACUCAAAUCUUUCAUCCCAGUCUCGAAAUAGGCUGUGUGGAGCUGCACUUAUUGCUUUUGGGUUCUUUCUCCAGCUAGUCGCCCGUGUGGGAGGGGUCAAGUUGAUAUGGAUAUUCCCAUUUACUCACUACAUCAGUAUUAUGCGCAAGUAUACACAGAUUAUGAUGAUUAACUCGUGUAGAUAACAGAUGAAAAAAUUAAAGUAAACAAUUCAAACUCAAUUUCCAAAUGCAGAAUUCUCAAGUCAAUUGUAUUCACACAGUUUGCAACAAAAGAUAGAUAAUCAAUCUGCAGUCGAUACCUGUCUUAUAAGAAAAACUAAUAUUUCAUCUAAGAAUGUACAUUUGGCCAUAGGCCAAAAAUCUACAUCUUUUAAUAUAUGAAAUUCAGCUAACAUCCAUCCCAAAACAAAGACUAGAGAAACUUACAAAAUACUACUACCAUUACAGCUUAUCCUCCACCAACUGCAACAGCAUCUCAGUCAACCGUGCACAGAACUCCCCAUCACUGACCUUCAACAUAUCAGAUAACUGCAUCGAAAACCCAUGAUCCAUUAAGAUUCGGUGGCGUGGCUUUAUUUUUCGCUCCAAACUAUACGAGAAGUAUUGGGGAAACUUCUUUAUUCCCUCCAAAUCCCCAUUCAUUUCAUUCAAGAAAUACUCCAUUUUCCGCUUAUAAUUAUUCUCUACGCUAAAAGUCAACAGCCCUGGCGACCUCAAAACCAUUUUCCUAACCUCAUCAUACUCAAACCCUAAUUCCACUAAAUACUCAAUCUUUGGUAAUAUUGUAAACUCUAUACUAGAAACCAACAACAAUGUGGUUUGAGAGGUUAAUUUAUUCGGGCCAGUGAAACCCAAUUGUGUCAGGAACUCAAACGUAGGUUUUAAUUGAGAUUCCGGAUCCGAAACAAGAAGCCUGGGACACCGAAUUAUGGAUUUCCGUAUCUCAGGAAAUGGGAUUUCAACGGUAUUCAAUAAAAAAUCAAAAAUUGGGUAAAUAUAGGAGUGUGGGUCGGAGGUGAGGACUGAGGAGCGAGGGGUACAUAUCCAGGAUGCGGCCUAGGGCAGAGGCUUCCAGGCCCAUGGAGGAGAAGCAGUGAGUAACGGAGUACAGGAUCGAGAGUGGAGCAGAACGAAGAUUUGGGUUUUCAUUGAGGGCUUUUGUUGGAUUUAUAUUGAGGGACUGGAGGUAGAUAAGUUUCUGCCGGAAUUUAAGGCCCGAGUCGGUGGCUGUGGUGAAGGCCGUAGUGGCGGGAAGAGAAAGGUGGGAUUUUAGGGUAUUUUGGGGAUUUGGGGAUUUGCAUGGAAUGGGAAUUUGAAGGUUGAGGAUCCUAUCCGAAAUGGAAGCUCAACGGCUUUGGCGAAGUACAUAUUGUUAUGGAUUGGUAUUCGGUGCCGCUAUUUAC